RNAcentral lists this transfer RNA (71 nucleotides) under Stegodyphus mimosarum. It matches the Rfam family "tRNA". Rfam says of the family: Transfer RNA (tRNA) molecules are approximately 80 nucleotides in length. Their secondary structure includes four short double-helical elements and three loops (D, anti-codon, and T loops). Further hydrogen bonds mediate the characteristic L-shaped molecular structure. tRNAs have two regions of fundamental functional importance: the anti-codon, which is responsible for specific mRNA codon recognition, and the 3' end, to which the tRNAs corresponding amino acid is attached (by aminoacyl-tRNA synthetases). tRNAs cope with the degeneracy of the genetic code in two manners: having more than one tRNA (with a specific anti-codon) for a particular amino acid; and 'wobble' base-pairing, i.e. permitting non-standard base-pairing at the 3rd anti-codon position. Lineage: Eukaryota; Metazoa; Arthropoda; Arachnida; Araneae; Eresidae. The record is from Rfam by way of RNAcentral.
GCCUUCGUGGUAUAACGCUAGCACAUUUGGCUUGUAUUCGAGAGGUCCAAGUUCGAGUCCUGGUGAGGGUA